GCGCCCUUAGCUCAGCUGGAUAGAGCACCGGACUUCUAAUCCGACGGUCGCAGGUUCGAAUCCUGCAGGGCGCGC
This 75-nucleotide transfer RNA is filed under the name Thiemannella venezuelensis. RNAcentral's name for it is "Planomonospora venezuelensis tRNA-Arg". It matches the Rfam family "tRNA". From Rfam's summary of the family: Transfer RNA (tRNA) molecules are approximately 80 nucleotides in length. Their secondary structure includes four short double-helical elements and three loops (D, anti-codon, and T loops). Lineage: Bacteria; Bacillati; Actinomycetota; Actinomycetes; Streptosporangiales; Streptosporangiaceae. RNAcentral also lists the same sequence under 24 other names. The record is from RNAcentral.